AGAUAGAUAGAUAGAUAGAUAGAUAGUCACGACUUCACUUCGUUUAUCACAUUACAUACUGUAAGGACAAUGGCAGUUAUCAUCUAGGACAUUUUGUAAUAAUAAUAAUAAAAAUAAUAAUGAUUUAUUCUUAUUAUUAUUAUAAAAGACCUUUGCCGAUAUAAUAACACGAUAGGAAAGAUAUGACCAGUACCUAAAUAUGCAAAAUGCUCUACUAUACCAUAAAAAGGUGAAAUUAUUCGAAUCAUAAUCAGUGUAAACAAUGCAAGCGCAAACAAACCCCGCCACACACUUUUGCUUCUCGUGGUGGAAGCUUAACAAACAUUUUAAGGAAAAGUGUGCCCUCUGAUGGACGAGAGAAGAAAAAACUAGCUUCAAAACGAUUGAAAGCGUCAACCGAGACGUGACGUUGUCAGCGUGCGCGAUCAAAAGAAUUCUGAGCGGUGAUUGGCCGUCAAUCAAACGAGAGUGAAGUGCGUCUCCUAGCAACCGGCCAGAGUCUCGUCUUGUUCAUAGCAGCAGGCUCUAGUUCGGACAUGGAAAGAUACAAACAGGUAUGACUGCCCGUAUGGAUGGACUGCGUUUUAAUAUAGAUGAAUUAACUUAUGUUUUUUUUUCCUUUCCCCUCCGCAGGAAAAUGUACAUCCUUUGCCGAAGCGUGUGAUUCAGCGGGACAGAGAUGUGACCCACCUUCAUCUCGCCAGAAGGUGCUUAGAGAAAAAUAUAAAGAAAUAAUAAAAUAAAAUAAAAAAUAUAUAUACAUAAAGUUUUUAGACAAUAAGAUGUGAUAUAUAUCUAUAUCUAUAUAUAUGCAUGUAAAAAUGUAUUAGAAUGUACAAUGUGCAUAAGAAUGAUUUAACAUGAAAAAUAUUUGCAUUUAUUUGUAUAUUUCCCUUUCGUUUUCCAUCUGUUUUUAGAGGAUUGACUUUCAUUCCAGAUUUGUCAAGGUUUUCCAUGCUGAGAUGCGUGUGGCUUAACAAUAACAGGGUUAGAUUGCCUGACUAAUAGUAGAAUUUUACCUUGUAGCUUUUGCUGCUUAAAAUAACAUUUUGAAGCUUAAAAUAAUGUUUGUUUUAAAAAUAAAACUUUCAGUCUAACAAGAGUGAGCGACUUUACAGAUCCGAGAGGUUUCCAGAGCUUCAUUUAACUGCUGCUUAACAGAACUUUAUCUACAGGACAAUGACAUUUCCUCUAUUUCAGGUCAGCUUGUGCAGUAAAGGUGUUUUAUAUUUACGUACCUUUGGAGUUUCUUAAGUUCUAACCUUUUUUCUGUCUGCAUUCAGGGGCAUUGAGACACCUGACGUGUCUUCAAGUGCUGCUCCUAUUCAAUAAUCAGAUGAAGUGCUUGGAGGAGACAGUGUCAGAGCUGAAGAACAUGCAAGACCUCCACACUCUCUGUGAGAUCCCGAGACCACCAUCUGUCCUUCAACCAAUGCAUUCCCUAGUAUAGUUAACUAUAAACACUCCUUGGUAUUUAAAAGUUAAUAUAGCAUUUAAUUAAGACUUUAAAAGCUAAUUUUACACCAUUUGUACAACCAAAAUAUAAAAGUAUUGGUAUUAUAAUGAUUGUAUAUAUUUUUUUCAAGUAAUUGUUUUGGCAAAAAGUCAUUUUAGAUCUUCUGUUUCAGCUUUAUAUCUCAACCCUUUCACGCAAGAUCCUGAUUACCGGCAAUACGUGCUGCAUCAUUUACCAUCUGUGAAGUUUUUAGAUAGAAAAGGUUGGCAUUCAUAUUCAUACGAACUUCCAAUAUUAGAACAAUUCACCAAAACCGAUCAAAGAUACCACAUGAAUAAUUAUGUGAUUGGAUAAACUAAUUAGAAAGCAGUUGUGCUGCUUUAUUAUUUUGUUAACCGUUUUGGGUGAGAUUUAAAUCGGUAUAUAAGAAAGAUUUCUGAACGAUCAUGCGACACCUAAUGCGAAAAUUAAGCUUUGCCGUCACAAGAAUAAAUUACAUUUUACAAUAUAUUAAAACGGAAAACAGCUGUUUUGGAUUGUAAUAAUAUUUCAGAAUACUACCGUUUUUACUGUACGUAAAUAAAUGCAGUCUUGGUUAGCAUAAGGGUCUUCGUUAAACACAUUAAAAGUCUUAAAUGCUCCAGACUUUUAAGCAGUGAGGUACUGUAUAAUUGGCAGAAGUGACGCAGGAAGAAAGAAGACGGGCAUUUAAGCUCUUCGGUGUAGAAAGACAAAGGGUGCUUGAUACCAUCGCCUUUGGCAGACGAGCACUACCGCCUCCUACAGGAAGAAAAACGACCAACUCCAUCACAAAACCAGUCGGUCAGCAAGGCUCAAGAAAGAGCAGUCGUUCUGAUGAUCGAGAAAACCCAUCAGUGCCCAAAUCCAUCAUCCAGUUCUCCAUUAUGAACUGGACCGGUUCAAGCACGUCUCAGUGGAACCAUCUACAUGACUCAAGCAAACCUGC
RNA transcript from Puntigrus tetrazona (Sumatra barb), 2423 nucleotides. It is a transcript of the gene named leucine-rich repeat-containing protein 72, with no coding region annotated. Lineage: Eukaryota; Metazoa; Chordata; Actinopteri; Cypriniformes; Cyprinidae. The transcript has 3 exons. The record is from RefSeq and is a predicted model, not a curated record.